AGAGUUUGAUCAUGGCUCAGGACGAACGCUGGCGGCGUGCUUAACACAUGCAAGUCGAACGGAGUUUAAAUCAGUAGUUUACUACAGAUUUAAACUUAGUGGCGGACGGGUGAGUAACACGUGGGCAACCUGCCCUAAAGAGGGGGAUAACACCGAGAAAUCGGUGCUAAUACCGCAUGACAUUAGAGCUUCGCAUGGAGCUUUAAUCAAAGGAACAAUCCGCUUUAGGAUGGGCCCGCGUCUGAUUAGCUAGUUGGUGAGGUAGAGGCUCACCAAGGCGACGAUCAGUAGCCGAUCUGAGAGGAUGACCGGCCACACUGGAACUGAGACACGGUCCAGACUCCUACGGGAGGCAGCAGUGGGGAAUAUUGCACAAUGGGGGAAACCCUGAUGCAGCAACGCCGCGUGGAGGAAGAAGGUUUUCGGAUUGUAAACUCCUGUCUUUUGGGACGAUAAUGACGGUACCAAAAGAGGAAGCCACGGCUAACUACGUGCCAGCAGCCGCGGUAAUACGUAGGUGGCGAGCGUUGUCCGGAAUUACUGGGCGUAAAGGGCGCAUAGGCGGCCUGUUAAGUCAGAUGU
RNAcentral lists this ribosomal RNA (582 nucleotides) under uncultured bacterium. RNAcentral describes it as "bacterial SSU rRNA". It matches the Rfam family "Bacterial small subunit ribosomal RNA", at positions 8 to 595 of the family's 1533-position model. The record is from RNAcentral.